GCGGAUGGAGCUAUUGGGAGUCGCAGAUACCAGGUGGCUGCAACUGUUUAUUAAAAACACAGCACUGUGCAAAAUCGUAAGAUGACGUAUACGGUGUGACGCCUGCCCGGUGCCGGAAGGUUAAUUGAUGGGGUUAGACUUAGGUCGAAGCUCUUGAUCGAAGCCCCGGUAAACGGCGGCCGUAACUAUAACGGUCCUAAGGUAGCGAAAUUCCUUGUCGGGUAAGUUCCGACCUGCACGAAUGGCGUAAUGAUGGCCACGCUGUCUCCACCCGAGACUCAGUGAAAUUGAAAUCGCUGUGAAGAUGCAGUGUACCCGCGGCUAGACGGAAAGACCCCGUGAACCUUUACUACAGCUUGGCACUGAACAUUGACCCUACAUGUGUAGGAUAGGUGGGAGACUUUGAAACUUGGGCGCCAGUUCAAGUGGAGUCAACCUUGAAAUACCACCCUUGUAGUGUUGAUGUUCUAACUUAGACCCCUUAUCGGGGUUGAGGACAGUGCCUGGUGGGUAGUUUGACUGGGGCGGUCUCCUCCCAAAGAGUAACGGAGGAGCACGAAGGUGGGCUAAACACGGUUGGACAUCGUGUGGUUAGUGCAAUGGCAUAAGCCCGCUUGACUGCGAGAAUGACAAUUCGAGCAGGUGCGAAAGCAGGUCAUAGUGAUCCGGUGGUUCUGAAUGGAAGGGCCAUCGCUCAACGGAUAAAAGGUACUCCGGGGAUAACAGGCUGAUACCGCCCAAGAGUUCAUAUCGACGGCGGUGUUUGGCACCUCGAUGUCGGCUCAUCACAUCCUGGGGCUGAAGUCGGUCCCAAGGGUAUGGCUGUUCGCCAUUUAAAGUGGUACGCGAGCUGGGUUUAGAACGUCGUGAGACAGUUCGGUCCCUAUCUGCCGUGGGCGUUGGAAGAUUGAAGGGGGCUGCUCCUAGUACGAGAGGACCGGAGUGGACGAACCUCUGGUGUUCGGGUUGUCAUGCCAAUGGCAUUGCCCGGUAGCUAAGUUCGGAAUCGAUAAGCGCUGAAAGCAUCUAAGCGCGAAGCGAGCCCUGAGAUGAGUCUUCCCUGGCACUUUAAGUGUCCUAAAGGGUUGUUCGAGACUAGAACGUUGAUAGGCAGGGUGUGUAAGUGCUG
RNAcentral lists this non-coding RNA (1129 nucleotides) under Vibrio sp. qd031. RNAcentral describes it as "Bacterial large subunit ribosomal RNA". It matches the Rfam family "Bacterial large subunit ribosomal RNA", at positions 1760 to 2878 of the family's 2925-position model. Lineage: Bacteria; Pseudomonadati; Pseudomonadota; Gammaproteobacteria; Vibrionales; Vibrionaceae. The record is from Rfam by way of RNAcentral.